UUCGGGGCUCCUUGGUGAAUCAUAAUAACUUAACGAAUCGCAUGGCCUUGCGCCGGCGAUGGUUCAUUCAAAUUUCUGCCCUAUCAACUUUCGAUGGUAGGAUAGUGGCCUACCAUGGUAUCAACGGGUAACGGGGAAUUAGGGUUCGACUCCGGAGAGGGAGCCUGAGAAACGGCUACCACAUCCAAGGAAGGCAGCAGGCGCGCAAAUUACCCAAUCCCGACACGGGGAGGUAGUGACAAUAAAUACUGAUACAGGGCUCUUUUGGGUCUUGUAAUUGGAAUGAGUACAAUUUAAAUCCCUUAACGAGGAACAAUUGGAGGGCAAGUCUGGUGCCAGCAGCCGCGGUAAUUCCAGCUCCAAUAGCGUAUAUUAAAGUUGUUGCAGUUAAAAAGCUCGUAGUUGAACCUUGGGCCUGGCUGGCCGGUCCGCCUCACCGCGUGUACUGGUCCGGCCGGGCCUUUCCUUCUGGGGAACCUCAUGCCCUUCACUGGGCGUGUUGGGGAACCAGGACUUUUACUUUGAAAAAAUUAGAGUGUUCAAAGCAGGCCUUUGCUCGAAUACAUUAGCAUGGAAUAAUAGAAUAGGACGUGUGGUUCUAUUUUGUUGGUUUCUAGGACCGCCGUAAUGAUUAAUAGGGAUAGUCGGGGGCAUCAGUAUUCAAUCGUCAGAGGUGAAAUUCUUGGAUUGAUUGAAGACUAACUACUGCGAAAGCAUUUGCCAAGGAUGUUUUCAUUAAUCAGUGAACGAAAGUUAGGGGAUCGA
This 765-nucleotide ribosomal RNA is filed under the name Cladosporium cladosporioides. RNAcentral describes it as "SSU rRNA". It matches the Rfam family "Eukaryotic small subunit ribosomal RNA", at positions 232 to 1001 of the family's 1831-position model. The record is from RNAcentral. Lineage: Eukaryota; Fungi; Ascomycota; Dothideomycetes; Cladosporiales; Cladosporiaceae.